UACGGGAGGCAGCAGUAGGGAAUAUUGGGCAAUGGGCGAGAGCCUGACCCAGCCAUGCCGCGUGCAGGAAGAAGGCUUUCUGAGUCGUAAACUGCUUUUGACAGGGAAGAAUAAGCUGGUCGUGACCAGUGAUGACGGUACCUGCAGAAUAAGCACCGGCUAACUCCGUGCCAGCAGCCGCGGUAAUACGGAGGGUGCGAGCGUUGUCCGGAUUUAUUGGGUUUAAAGGGUGCGUAGGCGGCCUUUUAAGUCCGGGGUGAAAGCCCGUUGCUCAACAACGGAACUGCCCUGGAUACUGGAAGGCUUGAGUACAGACGAGGUUGGCGGAAUGGACUGAGUAGCGGUGAAAUGCAUAGAUACGGUCCAGAACCCCGAUUGCGAAGGCAGCUGACUAGGCUGUUACUGACGCUGAGGCACGACAGCGUGGGGAGCGAACAGGAUUAGAUACCCUGGUAGUCCACGCCGUAAACGAUGGAUACUCGCUGCGAGCUAAAGAUUGUUCGUGGCUUAGGGAAACCGAUAAGUAUCCCACCUGGGGAGUACGCCGGCAACGGUGAAACUCAAAUGAAUUGACGAAGGGC
Molecule: ribosomal RNA, 581 nt
Filed under: uncultured bacterium
Lineage: Bacteria
Description: bacterial SSU rRNA
Rfam family: Bacterial small subunit ribosomal RNA
Source: RNAcentral